RNAcentral lists this ribosomal RNA (240 nucleotides) under uncultured bacterium. RNAcentral describes it as "partial 16S ribosomal RNA". It matches the Rfam family "Bacterial small subunit ribosomal RNA", at positions 91 to 334 of the family's 1533-position model. The record is from RNAcentral.
ACGAGUGGCGGACGGGUGAGUAAUGUCUGGGAAACUGCCCGAUGGAGGGGGAUAACUACUGGAAACGGUAGCUAAUACCGCAUAACGUCGCAAGACCAAAGAGGGGGACCUUCGGGCCUCUUGCCAUCGGAUGUGCCCAGAUGGGGUUAGCUAGUAGGUGGGGUAACGGUUCACCUAGGCGACGAUCCCUAGCUGGUCUGAGAGGAUGACCAGCCACACUGGAACUGAGACACGGUCCAG